ACCCAAGUCAAGAUCCUCCAUUACCUCGGGAAUCAAGCAGAAGACCAAGGAAGAGUAACGUAGGUGGGGGGAGAGAUGGCGGAGAGAAAGAUGGCCAAAAGUUGACGAGGAACACUCGCUAAAAGCCAGCCAGGAAGGAUGCGUGUUUUAGACGGUUCCUCUCUCCAUCUCCAACUCUAAGACGCCCGUUAUUCCCCCAUGGUCUUCCCUCCCAGGUUAUAACGCAUGUGGUCAGUCUAUGGAGAAGAAUCCCCCCCUCCACCACCCCCACCCCCCCACCUCCCCUACACACACGCACACACAACAC
Molecule: long non-coding RNA, 307 nt
Filed under: Spirodela polyrhiza (greater duckweed)
Lineage: Eukaryota; Viridiplantae; Streptophyta; Magnoliopsida; Alismatales; Araceae
Description: long non-coding RNA (SPOL_LNC001202)
Source: RNAcentral